RNAcentral lists this long non-coding RNA (513 nucleotides) under Bos taurus (domestic cattle). Its description in RNAcentral is "long non-coding RNA NONBTAT001063". The record is from RNAcentral. Lineage: Eukaryota; Metazoa; Chordata; Mammalia; Artiodactyla; Bovidae.
CCCCCCAUAGGUUUCAGUAUUUGUCAAAUGGGACAAACUGUUUUAUCUACUUUAUGGAGAUACUAAAAAGUUACAUGUAGUUAUAUACAAGAAAAAGUCUCAGAAAUUAUAAGCAUUCAUUAGUAAUGAAGUCUUUAAAGUCUUUCCUAUUUUCAAUAUUGUCCUCUGUAUUUCACUGAUACUAUCACUUAUUCUUUACAUAUUUCUUCUAGUUUAAAAUUUAUGCUACAAUUUAAUUCUCAAUUUCUUAAUAAUUCUAUUUUCUUCAAAUCCCUAUCUCACUGUUUCAAAAUAACAAAUGAAUACUACCUUUCCAAAUUAUCUUAUAUAUUUUGAUUCAAGGGAAGAUCUUCAGAAUUCAACAUCAGGCUUUCCAAUCUCUUAAUCUUUGGCUUUAUUCCGUCUAUACCACUUUUUUUCUCAAAGGUUUGUCCCAUGUAGUAAAGAAGGGUCCCUCAGCAUUGAGUUCCUGCAGUCAUAACACCUGUACCUUGAAAAAGGCUACCACAUAGA